CGUCAAGCAAACUCAAUGGUACGGUGCUCGAGGUGGAGGACGUGGCUAACAUGGCGCUGUACGUGGAGUCGGACGAGGCUAGUGGCGGAGCGUGGCAAGAAGUGAAGAAACCAAGAGGGGGCCAUUUUUUAAAACAAAAUAUGCAUUACUAGGAGCAGUGUGAGCUGAUGGUUCAUUCUUGUUCAACACUGCUCACAAACAGAAGUAAACGAGUAUAUGGAGGUGUUAUUUUUCAACCGGAAGCAUGCUACUGACGUAUGCAAGAAAGAGACAAAUUAUUUCCAGCCAUAAUUCAAGAAAACCAAGACUGUAAAGGAGUAUAGAAUAAAAGCAUGCAAAAUGAGUACUUCGGAGUCAUGCGUUUUGGAUCAAGGCAUUGACACAGCUGACCCGCCGGCAGUGACAUGCCUCGUCGAUCAAAGGCAUUGUCACAGCGAACCACCCCGCAGAAAUGUCGAGCACGACGGACACCACGUCGCGGCCUGAGGGAGAUUCUCAAUGUGUUGAUCUCGCUGCCGAAGGAGCAGAGACAAUUGGUGCAGCAUGAGGUCGCGGCCGCGACGACCCUGCGGCCCGCGCACACGAGGUCAAGGGCUCGAUGUAGAACUCAUUGCCGAUACUGGGGAGGCGCUGUCGCAGCACCAAUAGGUCCUGCAGCCUGCUACACGGUAGCUCUCAAACUGCGCAGAGUCAAGAUUGAUGCUAUGGUACCAUUAAUGAUUCCAGCAGAAGAUAUUUGCAACCUGAAGUGUUACACAAGGUCAGCUUCAAGGCUAUGAAGCGAAAGAUCAGACAAAGGUUUUCGCCAUGUUUGUCCUUCAACUUAGUAACCAUUCAAAAGAUAUAUGGAUGAUUAUCUGGGUGUGUGGCAAGAAUACUGCAAUGAUGAUGACGGUGUUCUGGUUCAUGAUGAUGAUGAUGACGACGACAUACCCUUUUAGUUGUAGUUAAGUUGUAGGGAUGUUGUUCCUGUUGGAUGAUGUUCCUGUUCCUUAGUUAAUUUUUUGUUAAGUUGUACGGAUGUUGAUGGAUGCUUUCGUUAAAGUUUUGAUGUCAAGAAAAUAUUUAGAUUGUGUAUCACAUUUGGAUGAAGUUCCUCAUGUAAUAUCCACUAUUGUAAUCCAACAGUUCUAUCCAAUAUAUGAUUUC
Molecule: long non-coding RNA, 1149 nt
Organism: Triticum dicoccoides
Lineage: Eukaryota; Viridiplantae; Streptophyta; Magnoliopsida; Poales; Poaceae
Exons: 5
Source: RefSeq, a predicted model, not a curated record